This 112-nucleotide non-coding RNA is filed under the name Nakamurella multipartita. RNAcentral describes it as "TPP sequence". It matches the Rfam family "TPP riboswitch aptamer (THI element)". From Rfam's summary of the family: Vitamin B(1) in its active form thiamin pyrophosphate (TPP) is an essential coenzyme that is synthesised by coupling of pyrimidine and thiazole moieties in bacteria. The record is from RNAcentral. RNAcentral also lists the same sequence under 1 other name. Lineage: Bacteria; Bacillati; Actinomycetota; Actinomycetes; Nakamurellales; Nakamurellaceae.
UGGAAUCGACACGGGAGUCCGGUGCGCCGGGCUGAGAGCGGGACGCGCCAGUCCCGGACCGUCGUACCUGAUCCGGGUCAUGCCGGCGAAGGGACGUCCUGUCCGCUCUCCU